CGCGUAGGCGGGAUGGCAAGUCGGUCGUGAAAUCCUUCGGCUCAACCGAAGAACGUCGGCCGAUACUGCCGUUCUUGAGGGAUGCAGAGGAGACUGGAAUUCCCGGUGUAGCGGUGAAAUGUGUAGAGAUCGGGAGGAACACCGGUGGCGAGGGCGGGUCUCUGGGCAUCUCCCGACGCUGAGGCGCGAAAGCGUGGGGAGCAAACGGGAUUAGAUACCCCGGUAGUCCACGCCAUAAACGAUGACGACUAGGUGUGGGGUGGUUCAGUCCACUCCGUGCCGCAGCUAACGCAUUAAGUCGUCCGCCUGGGGAGUACGGCCGCAAGGUUGAA
Molecule: ribosomal RNA, 332 nt
Filed under: uncultured bacterium
Lineage: Bacteria
Description: bacterial SSU rRNA
Rfam family: Bacterial small subunit ribosomal RNA
Source: RNAcentral